GCCGGGCAUGGUGGCUCACGCCUAUAAUCUCAGCGACUCGGGAGGCAGAGACGGGAGGAUUGUGAGUUCAGAGCCAGUCUCAGCAAUUUAGCGAGGCACUUAGCAAAUCAGUGAGACCCUGUCUCUA
Molecule: small RNA, 127 nt
Filed under: Marmota monax (woodchuck)
Lineage: Eukaryota; Metazoa; Chordata; Mammalia; Rodentia; Sciuridae
Source: RNAcentral